RNAcentral lists this ribosomal RNA (187 nucleotides) under uncultured rumen bacterium. RNAcentral's name for it is "partial 16S ribosomal RNA". It matches the Rfam family "Bacterial small subunit ribosomal RNA", at positions 340 to 524 of the family's 1533-position model. The record is from RNAcentral.
UACGGGAGGCAGCAGUAGGGAAUUUUCGGCAAUGGGCGCAAGCCUGACCGAGCAACGCCGCGUGAGUGAAGAAGAAUUUCGGUUCGUAAAGCUCUGUUGUAAGGGAAGAAUAACACGGAGAGAAUCCGUGCAUGACGGUACCUUACCAGAAAGCCACGGCUAACUACGUGCCAGCAGCCGCGGUAAU